AGAGGGGCCAUUCUUUACAUAUUAGAGGCGCGCCGGUCCUUGUCUUCGCCUCCUCCUCUCGGGGUCCGCAUUCUUUUCCGCUCCCCUGCCCCCUCUGGUUUGAAGCAGGCAAACCCACAGGAUGUGGGGGACUGCGCUCCUCCGGAGAAGGAAGAUUUGAGCGUGCACACAGCCUGAAACCUGGGGCUAACAUACUGGUAGCAGACCAGGAGAGCCUGGUUCUGAAGGGUGGAGUCAGAGUCAUCAGGAAACAGAGGGUUCUCAGCCAGCAGUAUCAUGCUUACCUGUAUCAGAUGAAAAACAACUUGUUUUGAGAGCACGCACUCCUGAGAUCUUCGGGCUCUUCCUUCCGGCUGAUGAAAUUAAUUUUGAAGGUAGGAGGAAUCGAGGAGGAGGCUGGGAAUGGGUCA
Molecule: long non-coding RNA, 410 nt
Filed under: Capra hircus (goat)
Lineage: Eukaryota; Metazoa; Chordata; Mammalia; Artiodactyla; Bovidae
Description: lncRNA (ENSCHIG00000004243.1)
Source: RNAcentral